AGGGUUCGAUUCUGGCUCAGGAUGAACGCUGGCGGCGUGCCUAAUACAUGCAAGUCGAACGGGAGUGCUGCACUCCAGUGGCGAACGGGUGAGUAACACGUAGGUAAUCUAGCAUUAAGACGAGGAUAGCUUCUAGAAAUGGGAGAUAAUACUGGAUAGGAAAUUUUCCCGCAUGGGGAAAUUUUUAAAGAUUUAUCGCUUAAUGGGGAGCCUGCGGUGCAUUAGCUAGAUGGUGAGGUAGCGGCUCACCAUGGCGAUGAUGCAUAGCCGGUCUGAGAGGACGAACGGCCACAUUGGGACUGAGAACGGCCCAAACUCCUACGGGAGGCAGCAGUAGGGAAUUUUCGGCAAUGGGCGGAAGCCUGACCGAGCAACGCCGCGUGAUUGAAGAAGUAUUUCGGUAUGUAAAAUCUUUUAUUUGGGACGAAAAAAUCAAAAUUGACGGUACCAAAUGAAUAAGCCCCGGCUAACUACGUGCCAGCCGCAGC
This 488-nucleotide ribosomal RNA is filed under the name uncultured bacterium. RNAcentral describes it as "bacterial SSU rRNA". It matches the Rfam family "Bacterial small subunit ribosomal RNA", at positions 8 to 518 of the family's 1533-position model. The record is from RNAcentral.